CUGGAGAGAAAUGUUGCAGCAACUUAUUUUUGUCAGACACUGAAAUACUGAAAAAUGAAAUGUCUCAGAAGAUUAUUCUUACAACGGCUGGAUAAUUGUUAAAAUUCUGUAACUAAUACUGGUUGCUAUGACAGCCUAACAUGCUGACAUGCUUUUUAAAAACAAACAAACAACCCCCCCAACAAAGCUUAAAAAUACACAUUUGGACUCUGUAAAGAAGACCGACAUGGCCAUGUAUACGAACCGCAGAGGGAAAGUGGUCCUUCUGGAAGAAGAUCACUGGACGUCAGUAACUCCAAAUCAGUUCCUCGGCGCAUUUGCGCCAUUUCCGCGUUUCGCCUGGAUUCAUCCAAACGCACCGAGGGACAGCUAUGAUGUGGUGUGCGAAAUCGUCUGGAGCAAAGCUACCCAGGUGAAACCUGGAAGAGGUCAAAGUUCACUGGAAAUCCAAGGGAGUAAAGACGACACUCCCUCAGUCAACAAGUCAAGUCAGAGGGCUGAGAAGCAGCAGGAAGACACAGAUGAUUACACGCACUAUGAGGAGGACAAGAAGCAAUACCACACUGACUUCACCCUUCCUUGCCCUUAUCUCUUGGGCCGCAGACAUCACGGCCUAUCCAAGCCCGCAAGGGUGCUGAGCCCUGUGCUGGAAGUGGAGAUGAGGCAAAUUAAGGAAGAGGCGGGCGGAAACAGAAAGUCGUAUUUUCCAUUGUUUUUGAAUUCGCAGUCCUGUCGGGAGAGGGAUGUGCAAGACAAACAAAGGAGUGUUGAAAACUCUCUUCAGAAGAUGCAGGUCUCUCAAUCCAGCAGAGCAGGCACACAGAGCUCUGUACCUGCACCUCAACAUCUGGUGACAAAUCCUGUCUGCUUUGAAGGCCACACCCAACACCUGCCAGACAGAGAAGAUUCUCUACACCCUUCUAAACUACCCGGGGAUGAAUGUGGAAGCGAGAAAGAGCAGAAUGCAAGUAGGGGCUCAGACAGCUACUCUAGUGAUGAUAGUGAUGCUGUUAGUCUACCUGGGGUGCGAAGUUGUGCCAAUGACAGCAGCAAUAAUGACUCAGUGGUUAGUGCAAAAGAGGUGAAGAAAAAGGAAAUUCCAAGCUCGUCUGUUGAGCUGAGCUGCGACAAUGAGCAGGAUUCCUUUUUUACAGCUGAUGAAGACUUUCCUGCUCUCACCACCAUCAACGCUGGCAUUCCGCUAUCUCUCACAGGGCCGCCAGCCUUGGGGAAGAUAAAAGGCCAGUGGGAGAUUCCCCUUUCAUUCCACCCACAUGACAUACCCACUGUCACUUUGGCAAGUGGCGUGAAUGACCCUGUGCAGGCUUCCAUCCAAGGCAAACCAGAAGCACCUGAGGCAAACUCAAAAACCAAAGCACCACCAGCAGUCCCAGUGCAGAACGAGGCUUAUGACCUCUUGGCCGACUUCCCAGCCCUCCAGCCCCCAAAGAACCCUUUAGCGCUUGGUGAAUUGCGUCACAGGAAUCCCAAGACCAACGUUUCAAAGGGGAAAGGAGUUCUCACUCCUGCUCCAAGCCACUGCCAAAGCUCUAGGGGUUCCCAUGAGAGGAGAUUGGAAAAUUCGCCCCACGAGGUCUCCUCCAUCUGUGCAGGAGAUCAGAAAUCUGCUCUGGACCUUCAAACAUUUGGCACGGUCAGCCAUCGCAACUCUUCCACCAUCAGCUGUGAGCAACGGAAGGCCAACAAGCAGCCGCCGCCUAGAGUUGCAGGUGCAGAUGGCGUGGGUGUCAGUGCCAGGUCCUGGGCUAACGCUGCCAAGGCAGGCAUGAAGCAAGCAGCUGCCCCUCAGGAGAAAGCCAGACCUUGUACCUUUCAGCAGAUAGUUACCAUUAACAAAGCCAAAGCUGAAUAUGGUGCCACUCAAAAAAUCAACAAGAAAGCAACAGUUUUCCACCCAGGAUCAAAUCAGAAGGCGAUAACCUUGAAACAGUGCUGCUUUCACCCCUGCAACCAAAUCCACUUAGUUUGCAACCCUCCUGGCUAUCAGCAUUUUGGAGCCCAGCCGCAUCAAGCCAACUAUCCUCCAGGAUUCAGCUGUCCCCGUUUUCCUUUCCAACAGGCCACGGGCAUCCCUUCUGAAAGUGGCCGUGUGAGAUGGCAGCCGUGGUGACACAGUUUUUGUUUUCUUUUGUUUGUUUGUCUUCACCCAUGACAGUUCUGGUCUGUAUAAAAAUGCACUAACCUCAGUUGUUUUUCCUUUAUUAUAAUCCCAAUAAAUAUUUGCAUCACAGUAGCACUUGGGCAUGGGUAAUAUACUCUUCUAUUCUAAAACACUGUACCGUAGUGAAAUUUAUUAAGUGAGGCAGAGGCAAAGGACACACAACAGUCAUUUCUUUAGUUCAUUAGUGAGCAUCUGGAUGCUGUGCACGCACAAGUUAGGCUCUAAAUACAAAAUGCAAACUGUAUGCACUUUCCAAAUGAAUUGAGUGAUGCGUAGUAAUAACAAAAUCUCAUUGUGCUGGGGUGAUAGUGAAAUGACGAUUAUUCAACAGUGCAGUGUCAUUUUCGCCAGCGGACCUUCUCAUACAUAAUGCAUCCAAAUCUUUGCAUUUUUCCUUCUUUCUGAGCUACAAUGCAUAUUUCAUCAAGUCAGUGAAAUAUUAAGC
Oreochromis aureus is the source of this 2627-nucleotide long non-coding RNA. NCBI's taxonomy places the organism in Eukaryota, Metazoa, Chordata, Actinopteri, Cichliformes, Cichlidae. The record is from Ensembl.